Molecule: long non-coding RNA, 4507 nt
Filed under: Nicotiana tabacum (common tobacco)
Lineage: Eukaryota; Viridiplantae; Streptophyta; Magnoliopsida; Solanales; Solanaceae
Description: long non-coding RNA (NTAB_LNC014738)
Source: RNAcentral
UAAAGUACAAGACAACCUAAAAAAUAGAGUUAAAAUAUAAAAAAAAUCUCCUUAAGCAGCUCCUGAAUGCAGUGGUCCUAACUGGAUGAUCCCGGAGCGUCUGUCAUGCUCAAGCUCUAGUAUGUAGAUCCACACCUGUAUGAGAAAAACAGGACCAAAUAGAGUUAAAGACUUAGAACACUAUGUGAGACAAUAACACUUCCUAUUGGACACAUUCAAGACAUGGUUGAGGCGAUUUUUGCAAAAUGGCCUACGUGGCCAAAAGGUGACUAGAAGUGCAAACUCAACAAAAGUGACCUCUAAGACAAGGAAAAAUUACUUUGCAGAAAUAACCUAUUUUGUAGAAAUAGUCUAUAUGGCCAAAAAAUGGCUAAGCAUGCAAAUUCAACCGAAUGGACCUUAAACAGAGAUGACACCUUGUUAUGGACUUAGGACUCUAAGACAUGGGUCACUGAACCACUUUUGCAAAAAUAACCCUAUUUUGCAAGAACGACCGAUGUGGCCAAAAGCGGUUAGACAUGCAAAUUUGACAAGGAUGGGCCUUAAAGUAAAGAGACACCUAAUUGUAGAUUCAAGACUCUCCAGACACAAUUAAACAAGCCACUUUGCGAAAAUAGUCCUAUUUUGCAAAAUGACUGAUGUGGCCAAAAGUGGCUAGACAUGCAAGAUUUGGCUACGACCCUCGAAGCCAAGAACUUAAGACUCACUAGGAAGACCAGACCCUAUGUGGGUUGCCUAUGUAUCCCGCCCUGAAAGACGAGAAUCAGGUUUGCGUAGUUCGGGAAAAGUGGAUACGAGCGAAAAUUAAAAAAAUAUUCUUUUUUUUAAAAUGAUGGGAAAGUGCAAAAUCUUUUUGAUUUUUUUUGAUUUUUAUAUAUUUUUGGGUCAUUUUCUUGAAAAAAAAAAUUGUGAAAGAAAAAUAUAACUAGGAACUACUGGCUUCAUUUUUUAAACUUCACCAUCUUUUCUUUCUCAUUUACCCUCAACCAUCAUUGGUCCGCCAACGAUUUUCACCUAUAAAGAAUGCAACGUGUAGCAUAUAAGAUGCAUCAGGAUGGUCUUUUAUUUUUGGGUACUCCUGUCCUAGACGGACUCAACCCCUGUUUUGAGUCCCCAAAGUCAAUUGCACAUGAUGCAGACAAACGUGCCUACUAGGGAUUCAGCAUAAGGUUAUGUCAUUCUAGGUUUAAACUUGGGGGUGUAUUCUAGACAUAGCUUACCCAAGCGGACAGCUCGAGCCGAGGUGGGGGCCACUUACCGGGAGCACGAAAGUCUACCCGGCCUAGUUGCUGAUCCAGCGUCGUUCUAUUUGGUACGACCUCUAAUAGAAAAGUGGACCAUGCGUACACGUGCACCAUAUUUUUAGAAGACUCAAAAGUGAGGCAUUAGUUUAAUACUGUUCAAAUAAUAUAAAAGCGGUAAAUAAACGGUAAUUAGCACAUUAGGUCCACAAAUAUAGUAAUGUCAAUAAACAAUAAAGCCAAGUAUAGAUCACAUUAACAAACUCGAAUUUUGAACCAUGAACUAGAGAUUCUGGGUUCUUUUUCCAGCAGAGUCGCCAGAGCUGUCACACCUCCUUUUUCCUGAAGGGGAUAGUGAUUUUUUCCAAUUAAAGUGACACAAUCGAAAAGGGAUUAUUUAUGUUAUUCAGAGUCGUCACUUGGGAUAAUUAUAUGGUGUCCCAAGUCAUCAAUUUAUUUUAAAUCCUGAAUCGAGGAAAAUUGAAUCUGUUUUAAGUCAACGAAACCAGAAGACCGGGUAAGGAAUUAUGUUAACUCGAGAGAAGGUGCUAGGCAUUCCAAGAUUUUGUGGUUUUAGCACAGUCGCUUUAAUCGUAUCUGGAUUAGUCAAUUUGUUUAAUUACGUGUUUUAGAACCUAUGUGCGUUUUACAUUACCGCUUUUAAUUGCUUGAUUAUUCGUAAUUAUGGAAUUAUCUUAAAACAAGUCACGCAUACGUGUACUCAUUUCAUUUGCCAUGUCAAGAAUCAUGUCACGCAUACAUGUACACAAUUAAUCAUGCUUUAUUAAUUAUCAAGAAUGUUUGGCCGAAGUUGCGCGAAUGCAUACCUCGAUUUAUUUUGAAAACCGUAAUUAUGUCGCGCGAACGUGUACACAAUCUCUAUGAUAGAUUAAGUCGUGCCUAAAGUAUUUUCUAUGAAUAUUUAUUUUUAAAUUGUACUCGUGUCACCCAAACCAGUGUUAACGAGAAGUUGGAGGUUUGGAGACAAGCUCUUGAAUCUAAGGGUUUCAAGCUUAGCAGGACAAAGACAGAAUACCUGGAGUGUAAGUUCAACGCUGAGCAGAGGGAAGUGGGUGUGGAUGUGAGGCUUGAAUCGCAGGUCAUCCAAAGUAGAGACAGCUUCAAGUACCUUGGGUCGGUUAUCCGGGGGAGGGGGGGAGAUCGACGAGGAUGUUACGCACCGUAUCGGGGUAGGAUGGAUGAAGUGGAGGUUAGCAUCUGGAGUAUUGUAUGACAAAAGAGUGCCACUGACACUCAAAGGUAAGUUCUAUAAAGCGGUGGUUAGGCCGGCCAUGAUGUAUGGGGCUGAGUGUUGGCCGGUUAAGAAAUCACAUAUCCAGAAGAUGAAGGUAGCAGAAAUGAGGAUGUUGAGGUAGAUGUGCGGGCAUAGUAGGAUGGAUAAGAUUAGGAAUGAUGAUAUUCGAGAGAAGGUGUGCAUGGUUUCCAUUAAUGACAAGAUGCGGAAAACAAGGCUCAGGUGGGUCGGGCACAUUCAGAGGAGAAGCCCAGAUGCUCCGGUAAGGAGGUGUGAACGGCUAGGUUGUGGAGGGCUCAAGAAGAGGUAGAGGGCGGCCUAAGAAAUAUUGGGGGGAGGUGAUUAGGCAGGAUAUGUCGAUGCUUCAGAUUUCCGAGGACAUGACACUUGAUAGGAAUAUGUGUAGGUCGAGUAUUAAGGUUGUAGGCUAGGAGGUAGCUGAUUAUUGUCUUAUGUCAUAACUUUGGGGGACUAGUUUGGUAAGGAUACUAUUUUCCUUUUGCUUGGUAUCAUGCCUCUUGAUUUCAUGUUGUUCUUAUUUUUCCAUAUAUAUAUAUAUAUAUAUAUAUAUAUAUGUAUGUAUUCUUUCAUUAUUGUUCUUAUGUAUGUUAGCUUAAUUAAUUGUUUCCUUUUGUUCUUUUGUUCUUUUGUCUUAUUGAGCCGAGGGUCUUUCGGAAACAGCUUCUCUACUUCUCCGGGGUAGGGGUAAGGUCUGCGUACACACUACCCUCCCCAGACCCCACUAGUGGGAUUACACUGGGUUGUUGUUGCUGUUGUCGUGUCACCCGAACGUGUACACAAUUAAUAACAUUUUAUUAUUAUCAAGAUUGUUUCGUCAAAAGUUGCGUGAACGCAUACCUUGGUUUUAACUUUGAAAAUCGUAAUUAUGUUACGCGAACGUAUACAUAAUCACGAUAAUCUGAUUAAUUAAGAGAGUGUCUGAAGCUACUAACAUAAAGCAAAGUAAAGAAAAUAACAUAAACUAUCCAAAGCUUGAAUCACUUAAUUUUGGAGCUUUCUGCCACAAACAACUUGUCUUAAGGAACUAAAACCUUUUUUUUAAAAUCCAAACACUGUCAUGGCUUAGUUUACACACUCGACAAGUAUUAGCCCAAAAAGAAGAGUUAACCAAACAAACCACGGGCACUCAUGUUUCUAGAAAUUGAUUAACGUGUCAAAUGAAAACUCAACAAAGUGAAUCAAAUCAAAAAAAAAAUUAAACAAACAAUGAAGCAGUAGAACAAUUAUAAAUUAUUCAAAAUCAUCAAAGAUUGAUAACAGGAACACAGAGAGUACAUUUAGAAAUCAUAGUAAGAAAUGGACCUUCACGGGUAGAAAAUCAUCUUCAAUGUAUUAACAAAGAGAAAUCCAAACCAAACUUUGUACAAUAGCAAUGAUUGUUUAGUUAGGAAAACUGAAAUUCGACAACAACAUCGGAAUCGAAAGCGCGAAUAGGACCUCGGCCAGAAACCUUCUAACUCAAACGGAUUUUCAGAACUUCGAUUACGCUUGAACAGUGGUAGAAAUGAACUAUUUGUGAUGGCUUGCGGCUAUCAGAUCUCUUUCCUCUCUACUGUUCGCAUGUGUGUGUAUUUGGGUGUUCUUGCGUGUGUGUUCUAUCCAAAAGCAAAGAUCAGAAAUUCCCUUCCCCUAUUUUGUCGUUCCCCUCUAUUCUCUCGUUCUCUAUUUCUUUCAUUUCCCUUCCCCAUUCCCCUAGUCAGUUUUUCUAUUUUUGUUUUGGUUCAGGCGAGGUCGAAGACGGCUGGUGGCUGACGAUUUUGAAAAUAGGGUGGCCGAGGUAUCGAUUUGGUAGGGUGUGCGCCUGAUGGUGAGAGAGUGAGGGAUGAGGGGCUAGUUUGUUGCGGCAAAUUUUAGAGAGGAUAGGACGGUUGCUUCUUUUUUUGGAGGGGUAGGUCUUUUUUUAGGGUUCCUGAAAUUGGGGGGGGGGGGGGGGUUUAUGAUCAAGAGAAGAAAUAUCGGUCAUUGGAUAAAGUAUUUGGAUGGCUAUGAG